Molecule: RNA transcript, 2184 nt
Organism: Capsella rubella
Lineage: Eukaryota; Viridiplantae; Streptophyta; Magnoliopsida; Brassicales; Brassicaceae
Exons: 12
Source: RefSeq, a predicted model, not a curated record
GUGGAGAAAAUUUUAUGACGAUUUGCAAAGUUUCAUGCUUUCUCCGUGACUCAAAAAUGCUUCAUUUGUUUUCUUCCAGUUUAGUCUCUUUUUUUCCCUGUUUCUUGCAGAAACCAGUCGAGUUAUAUAUAGCUUAUAGCCAAUAAAUCUGAUAAGUGUCAAUCAACAACCUCUUACUUGUUUAUCAAACGGUGUCAUUUACUUGUUUGUUUCUGCUUGGAGCUUGGUCUUAAAGUUAGAUUGUUUUGAAGAUUCGUGUAGAUUAGAUAGUCACGUUGAAUUUUUGAAGAUGGUUUAGUAAUGGCAGAUGGCUCGUGAGCUGGGUUUUUACUUUAUCCUUAUGAAUCUAGUGGAGGAGGAAAGACUUGACCUGUUUUUUGCGGUUGGACAUUAAUUUUAUCAACUCUCCUUAUUGCAAGUCUUUUAAUGUGGAAUCAUUCUCCUCUCUUCUUCCAACUUGCCUGAUCAUUUCAUAGUCACAGAUUGUUUCCCACAAGAUCCCUUGUGAAACCUUUAUCAAGAUUUGCCACUUAUGCUGUAGAUUUGUUGUCUUUUGGGGUUUGUAGAUUUUCUUAAGCUCUGUUAAAAAUGGGAUGCUUUGCAUCAACGCCGAAAGAAACUGGUGGCAACAGAAGAAAGCCAACAAGCAUCGGUGAGGUUUCAGUAUAUGUACCUGGUUUAAGGAUACCCAGAGCUGUGGAUUUUUUGCAGUCCCUUGGUGAUCAGUUACCCAAGGCUCUAGUGGAACGCUUGACAGCUUUAAGAACGCGUAUAGUAGUGAUGGCUAAUCAAGAAGGACCUACAAUAACAAGAACUAGGAGAAAAACACAACAUGGUUCAACGCUCUCGGAUCUCCAUCAAGCUUUGGUAGAUUAUCUACCUGUUCUCUUGGGAUUAAGUAAAGAUGGUAGCCAUCUACAGUUUAAAGUACCAUUUAAUUGGGUAAAUCAGGAAGAUGAGGAAGAGGAAACAGAGAUGUCAAACGUUUGGUAUGAAGUUUUAUCCGUUUUGCAUCUAAUGGCAAUGCUACAAAUGUCUCAAGCCAAUUUACUGCUUCUUCCUAGAGGUUCUAGUGAUGGUCACAACCAUCCAAAAGUUUCAGAAGAAAACAGACGAGCUUCGAUUGAUAUCUUCUUAAAAGCAGCUGGAUAUCUUGAUUGUGCUGUUAAGCAUGUACUCCCUCAGUUUUCUGCUGAACAAAGGAGAAUUUUACCGGUUGAUUUAGGGGAAGGAGUUCUACGGGCCCUUUGCUUGCAGGCACUUGGCCAGGGUGUUGAUAUCCAACUUGGCAUGGCGAUUGAUAGCUCGAAGGCCACUCUCGCAGUAAAACGAAGACUUUCAUGUGAAAUGGUGAAAUAUUGGCAGCAAGCACAAGAUAAUCUAAUGAAUCUUCCAUUAGCGAACGGCUGGGGAGAAAAGCAUGGACUCUUUGUUAAGUGGAAGUAUGUUGAAGCUAAGGCUGCGGCUUACUACUAUCACGGUUUGAUUCUUGAUGAAGGAAACACAGAGAAAUCACAUGGCAUGGCAGUUGCAGCUUUACAAGCUGCAGAUGAAUGUUUCAAAGAAAGUAAGAAAGCAUCCGAAGCAUUCAACAUCUCUUCACCUACUUCAAGAACACCGCCACUUAUUGGAACAAUGAAGUAUCUAACCGAGAAAAUCCCGAAAGAUACUUCGAGUAAAGUCAGGAUAAACCGUGAUCUAUACUCUUAUGAAAAAAUCAUGGAGACAGCACCAACACUUCCUGAUUUCGCUUUGGCAUUGAAACCAGAUGAAUAUCAACUUCCUCUCGUUGAAGCUUCGUAGUCUGAAGAUGCUCAAAAUGCUUCAAACCAAGUUUACCAGCAAUCGAUGAUAAAGAUGUGUAAAACUUAUAGAGCCAAAAAAAAGAAAUCAGUGGUUCCCAAUGGCUACCUGCAAGAUUAUGGUUGCUGGUAAGACAAGGUUUAACUUGGAGCUUAAAGCUUAAAGCAACAUAGAAAGUACUGGAAAUUCUGGAAUAACACAGAAUCUAGAGGAGAUGAUGAAGAUUCUUUCAGAGAACAACAAGAUCAACAGAUUCAGCACUGGUUCGGUUUUUGUUUUUAGCCAGAGCUUCGUUUCAAAAAGUUAUAACAAGAUGAUGUAAAUUUUGUAUGUCCUACCAGAUUACCAGUUAUUUUAUAGAAAUUGUAAUGUGAAUUUUCA